AGCGGUUCUCAGGUGAUGCACCCCAGAACCAGAGAGGGAGCCUGCUGAUUCUGGGGUGCAUCACCCAAGAACCACC
This is a non-coding RNA of Myotis brandtii (Brandt's bat), 76 nucleotides long. Lineage: Eukaryota; Metazoa; Chordata; Mammalia; Chiroptera; Vespertilionidae. The record is from Rfam.